CCACCUCCUUCCCCAACAAACACCCAGCAGGACAGGGAGGCUUGGACCAGGACUGACUCUGGGGGAUGAUGGACUGCUGUCAGGUUUUAAAGACAGAACGCACCAGCUUUGUACUUGGACUGGGAGUGAAGAGAAAGGGAAACCUACGAGCUUCGGGAAGAGUGGAGUUGCCAUUUGUUGAAUGAAGUGAGGCACUUUUAUAUUCCCAGAACCUGGCAAAGAAAGUACCUAGUGCACAGUGGACACUCAAAUAUCUGAGAAUCGAGUUUGACUGAAUAAGUUUAUUCAAUCCAGGUAAUUCAAUACAUGGCUUUCCCCUUCCUCUAAAGUCUUCAGUGGUUGUUAAUUCCACAAAGAGGCUUAGACCCAAACCUUAUAUGGCACACAGCAACAAAUCCCGACCUCUCGACAAUCAUUUAGUCCUAAAUGGACAACCUGCCUGAACACACAGAAGGCGACUGAAAGCUGGUAAGCCUAAAGACGCUCACCACCAAAGCCAUGAAGCUGCUCGUUAAGGACACCAUACUCCUGGAAAGGGACGCCGGUGCAAAGUGAACCGGAACAGCCACAAUGGAUUGAAAUGAUAACAUUUGAUGAUAGAUUUUCAGAAUCUGACAAGACAGAACAAGUCCCAUAAUAAAGCAGCAUUAAAAAAAAAAAAAAAGAGGCAGAAAAGCUCCUUUAAGCUGGUGUAAGUCCCUCCUAACACGUUUCCAUGAGAAAUAAGACCCUGCUUGACAAUGUGACAUUUAGCGCACACACACCAUCCCCCAAGGCAUGUUCCUGCCAAUUAGUGAUACUGAGAAAAGAGGCGAAUUGGCUCCUAACUUGUGGUACUUCUCAUACUCCUAUUCUGGGAUUUAGUAAUCCAGCACCUUUGUUCUAGCCUCUUGAAGAACCACGAAGUUAGCAGAAACUCCCUGAAAGCUCAGUUUUCCCAAAUGUCCUACCCUAAAAUAUAGUGCUUUGCUUUUAUUUUAUUUUUUUAAGAAAUGUGCAAACAUCUUUCAGGAACACAUCCUCUAAAACACUCCUGAGGCCUGUGAAUCUCAGGCCAGCCUUGGCUAUAGAAGGAAACUAACUGGGAACACUAAAAACACUUUAGAGAAACUGGCCCUAGUGCACCAAGCAACAGGCGGCACUCUCCUUUUCCCUGCCAGUCAAAGGCCUUGAAGCAACGCAAACAAACGGGUUAAAUGCCAGCCAGGUUCCCGUACCUCCCCGCUCCCUGUGCACAGCGCUAGCCUGACAACACCACGGCCCCUAGCCGCGGGGCUGAACCGAAAGGAACCCGCACCCAACCGACCAACGGUUUGCAGAGGCACGAGCCACCCGGGGUUUCCCCCAACACGGGAAGCGAGUACGAGCCGGGACACCCCGCGACUCCGCUCCAACCGGAGCACGCACGGCCUCCCCCGGGCUCCGCACAGCCGGAGACCGAGGUGCGGGCGGGGAUGCCCCCGGGGAGCGGGAGGCAUAAUUCCAGCAGGACUUACUAAGCCAAGUGGUGUCAAGGAUGGUCUCCAAAGAGCCCGGCCACCUGCUAGUAGCCACCGGUGCUGUGUGGAUCACCUGCCCUGUUCAGGAGUUUGGCAGAAGCAAGAGAGUUGUCAUCUUGGAAGUCAAGGAGUGCCAGGAACAUUCCUUGGAGGGACCAUAGUGUUCAUAGUGGAAAGAUCAUAGUGUGUGCAAUCGGAUGAACCUGGGCUCCAUCCACCUUCUGCCGAAUUCUAAAUUAGUCCUAGCCCCAAGUGAGUGAAACCACGCAGGGCUGAAGAGUCUUGGGGUAUUAAGUCCUGCAGACUCAUUGUGUAUUGUUUUGGUGGCAGGACUUUUGUUUACACCCCCCACACACACAAGAAAAAUGAAAAUCUCCCAGGAUAAAAUAAAAAGGCAUAGCCAUGGA
RNAcentral lists this small RNA (1906 nucleotides) under Rattus norvegicus (Norway rat). RNAcentral's name for it is "uncharacterized LOC102552673". The record is from RNAcentral. Lineage: Eukaryota; Metazoa; Chordata; Mammalia; Rodentia; Muridae.